GACAGAGGGGGCAAGCGUUGCUCGGAAUCACUGGGCGUAAAGGGCGCGUAGGCGGGAUGGCAAGUCAGUCGUGAAAUCUCUCGGCUCAACCGAGAAACGUCGGCUGAUACUGCCGUUCUUGAGGGAUGCAGAGGAGACUGGAAUUCCCGGUGUAGCGGUGAAAUGUGUAGAGAUCGGGAGGAACACCGGUGGCGAAGGCGGGUCUCUGGGCAUCUCCUGACGCUGAGGCGCGAAAGCGUGGGGAGCGAACAGG
This 253-nucleotide ribosomal RNA is filed under the name uncultured bacterium. RNAcentral's name for it is "partial 16S ribosomal RNA". It matches the Rfam family "Bacterial small subunit ribosomal RNA", at positions 524 to 776 of the family's 1533-position model. The record is from RNAcentral.